GACGAACGCUGGCGGCGUGCUUAACACAUGCAAGUCGAACGGAAAGGCCCCCUUGUGGGGUACUCGAGUGGCGAACGGGUGAGUAACACGUGAGUAACCUACCCUUUACUUUGGGAUAACUUCAGGAAAAUGGGGCUAAUACCGGAUAGGAGCUCCUGCUGCAUGGUGGGGGUUGGAAAGUUUCGGCGGUUGGGGAUGGACUCGCGGCUUAUCAGCUUGUUGGUGGGGUAGUGGCUCACCAAGGCUUUGACGGGUAGCCGGCCUGAGAGGGUGACCGGCCACAUUGGGACUGAGAUACGGCCCAGACUCCUACGGGAGGCAGCAGUGGGGAAUAUUGCACAAUGGGCGGAAGCCUGAUGCAGCAACGCCGCGUGCGGGAUGACGGCCUUCGGGUUGUAAACCGCUUUCGCCUGUGACGAAGCGUGAGUGACGGUAAUGGGUAAAGAAGCACCGGCUAACUACGU
This 464-nucleotide ribosomal RNA is filed under the name uncultured bacterium. RNAcentral describes it as "partial 16S ribosomal RNA". It matches the Rfam family "Bacterial small subunit ribosomal RNA", at positions 28 to 506 of the family's 1533-position model. The record is from RNAcentral.